UACGAGAGGCCCAAACGUUAUUCGGAAUUACUGGGCUUAAAGAGUUCGUAGGCGGCAUUGCAAGUAGGGUGUGAAAGCCCUCGGCUCAACCGAGGAAUUGCGCUCUAAACUGCAGUGCUUGAGGAACCUAGAGGUGAGCAGAACAGAUGGUGGAGCGGUGAAAUGCGUAGAGAUCGGAAAGAACACCAACGGCGAAAGCACUCUGCUGGGCCGACACUGACACUGAGAGACGAAAGCUAGGGGAGCGAAUGGG
Molecule: ribosomal RNA, 253 nt
Filed under: uncultured bacterium
Lineage: Bacteria
Description: partial 16S ribosomal RNA
Rfam family: Bacterial small subunit ribosomal RNA
Source: RNAcentral